Molecule: ribosomal RNA, 157 nt
Filed under: Cytaeis sp. MAN-2015
Lineage: Eukaryota; Metazoa; Cnidaria; Hydrozoa; Anthoathecata; Cytaeididae
Description: 5.8S ribosomal RNA
Rfam family: 5.8S ribosomal RNA
About the family: 5.8S ribosomal RNA (5.8S rRNA) is a component of the large subunit of the eukaryotic ribosome.
Source: RNAcentral
CAACUUCUAACGGUGGAUCUCUUGGCUCGUGCAUCGAUGAAGAACGUAGCCAGUUGCGAUAAGUAGUGUGAAUUGCAGAAUUCAGUGAAUCAUCGAAUCUUUGAACGCAAAUUGCGCUCCCUGGAUAUCCAGGGAGCAUGCCUGUCUGAGUGUCGUG